Molecule: ribosomal RNA, 460 nt
Filed under: uncultured bacterium
Lineage: Bacteria
Description: partial 16S ribosomal RNA
Rfam family: Bacterial small subunit ribosomal RNA
Source: RNAcentral
CCUACGGGAGGCAGCAGUGAGGAAUAUUGGUCAAUGGACGAGAGUCUGAACCAGCCAAGUAGCGUGAAGGAUGACUGCCCUAUGGGUUGUAAACUUCUUUUAUAUGGGAAUAAAAUGUUCCACGUGUGGGAUUUUGUAUGUACCAUAUGAAUAAGGAUCGGCUAACUCCGUGCCAGCAGCCGCGGUAAUACGGAGGAUCCGAGCGUUAUCCGGAUUUAUUGGGUUUAAAGGGAGCGUAGGUGGAUUGUUAAGUCAGUUGUGAAAGUUUGCGGCUCAACCGUAAAAUUGCAGUUGAAACUGGCAGUCUUGAGUACAGUAGAGGUGGGCGGAGUUCGUGGUGUAGCGGUGAAAUGCUUAGAUAUCACGAAGAACUCCGAUUGCGAAGGCAGUUCACUGGACUGCAACUGACACUGAGGCUCGAAAGUGUGGGUAUCAAACAGGAUUAGAUACCCCAGUAGUC